This 435-nucleotide ribosomal RNA is filed under the name uncultured bacterium. Its description in RNAcentral is "bacterial LSU rRNA". It matches the Rfam family "Bacterial large subunit ribosomal RNA", at positions 1994 to 2426 of the family's 2925-position model. The record is from RNAcentral.
GAAAGGCGCAACGACUUGGGCGCUGUCUCGACCAUGGACCCGGUGAAAUUGCACUGGUCGUGAAGAUGCGACUUACCCGCGGAAGGACGGAAAGACCCCGUGAACCUUCACUGCAGCUUGGCAUUGGCCGCUGGUCCCGCGUGUAGAGGAUAGGCAGGAGGCAUCGAUCCGGAGGCGCCAGCCCCCGGGGAGCCGCCCUUGGAAUACUGCCCUCGCGCGACCGGCGUCCUAACCCGAGGCCGUCAACCGGCUCGGGGGACCGUGCCAGGCGGGCAGUUUGACUGGGGCGGUCGCCUCCUAAAGGGUAACGGAGGCGCGCGAAGGUCCGCUCGGGACGGUCGGCAACCGUCCUUUUGAAUGCAAGAGUACAAGCGGGCUUGACUGCGAGGCCCACAAGCCGAGCAGGUGCGAAAGCAGGCUCUAGUGAUCCGGCGG